UGGCUUGGAUUGUGUAAUGUGUCUCAUUAAGUUGUUAUAAAUGUUGAUUACAUGUCCUAAUGUCUCAAGAGAGAGAUUUUAUAAUGUUUCAAGAUACAAAAAGCAAUGUUAGUUUUACUUUAUUACGGAAAUCUUCUUCUUGCCAUCAAUGAACCUAAUUACGGAAAUCUUCUUCUUGCCAUCAAAAAAUUUAAUUUCCUAAAAAGUGAACCUAAUUUUCUAAAAUCAAAUAUGAUAAUUUAUUUAAAUUCUCAAAACUUUUUUUGGAACAAAUUUUUUUCUUUGGCAGUUAGGAAGUGGUGGUGUUAUAGAAGCUGACAAAUUUCCUUUUUGCCUGCAUAAAUGAGGAGCAAAUUAAGCAUGCUGACAAGCAACUCAUGUAUCAAUGCCGCUGUUCUUUUCUUGAGAUUUACAAUGAACAAAUCACUGAUUUGUUGGAUCCAAGCCAA
Camellia sinensis is the source of this 449-nucleotide non-coding RNA. NCBI's taxonomy places the organism in Eukaryota, Viridiplantae, Streptophyta, Magnoliopsida, Ericales, Theaceae. The record is from RefSeq and is a predicted model, not a curated record.